RNAcentral lists this long non-coding RNA (471 nucleotides) under Erythranthe guttata (spotted monkey flower). Its description in RNAcentral is "long non-coding RNA (EGUT_LNC003264)". The record is from RNAcentral. Lineage: Eukaryota; Viridiplantae; Streptophyta; Magnoliopsida; Lamiales; Phrymaceae.
GAAAAUCAGAUCUGGAAAAAAGAAUAAUUCAAUUAAUCAAAGUACAAAGCAAUGAACGAAUAUAAAUGCAAAUGCUUAAAUCAAUCAUCUCAAUCACCAAAAAAGGAGAAAUCUAAUUUGUUUUUUUUUUUUACCAAAAGAUUUUAUUACCUUGAAAGCAGACGGAGGAGGAAUGGCGGCAGACGGUCUGGCAGCGACUACAGAGGGCUGACGGCGGAGGGCUGUCGGCGACGGCAACGGCAGGCGGCGGCGGAGAUUGGGGGCGAAUUAGGGUAUCACGGAGGAGGGCUAACGCCGGUGGGAUGACGGCGAACGGCGGACAGCAGGCGGCGGGCGGCGGGCGGCGGACCGCGGUGGGCAGAUCGGAGGAAAGAGAGAGAGGGAGAAAUUUAGGGAGAGAAACAAACAGAUCGAAUUAAGGUCUGGUUGAAAUAAUAAAUCAACCUUUGCGCCGUUUACACCUUUCGUCGC